ACCUUUACUAACUAUCCUUUGCAUUACAUACAGGAAACAAAGCAACAUAAACAAAUACACAAAGAGGUGGUUUGUUGCAGUCUGCACAUAAAGUGCGUGCAUAUUACUUAACUGUACAAAGAUCCCACUUGGCCACCACGCUCACCAAGAGAUGCAACAAAAGCAAAACAUUCCCAUCACAUGCACCAGCUGUGGCAUGUUCCGCUUUUUCACACAAAAACUAGACAACUACAACUGCUCCAAAUGCAAACAGAUGACUCUGAUGGAGCAGAGGAUCCAACAGCUCGAGCACCGUAUUAAGACCCUUAAGGACAUUCAGGCACUCGAGCUCUUCUUGGACACUGCACAACACGCUGCUGUAGAUCUGCAGCCUGCAUCACACCAACACCACCAAGACCAUGAUCAGGAACCUUAUGGGGAGAUCAACUCAAAGGUAGACAACCCUCAGGCUUGGAAGGAGGUCACCCAUAGAAGGAGACGCAGGACCAGGCAGCCUCCGCAGAACUCCUCUGCUCAGCUGCAUUUACACAACAGAUUUGAAAUUCUUACAUCAUUAACAUACAAUCAGGAAACACAUCUUGUGGAGGACCACAGUUUCUUAGAUACCACUAAGUGGACCACCCUGGAUCAAUGCGCAGGGGAUAGCCCUGACGGGGACAGUGCAUCACCACAGUCACACUUAUGUAAUCAUGCAAAUGCUCCAUCCCCAAUCAUAGACCAGGAGCAACAGGAACAUCCUUGGGAGAGUAAUGGGCUCUCGGAUGUAUCUCAAUGGAUUGUCAUUGAUGAAUGCACUGGGGAUGUUGAGGAGGAGGACAACACUUUACACCAGCAUGAUUCACUUCAACAGGAACACUCUUCAGGGGACAUACACACUGUCUUGCACAAAAGGGACCCUGUCAAUCCUCAAAGGAAACAGGUCUUGGUAGUAGGUGACUCCCUCCUUAGAGGAACGGAAGCCAUCAUUUCCAGACCGGAUGGGAUGGCUCGAGAAACAUGCUGCCUCCCGGGGGCAAAAAUACACCAUAUCACUCAGAGGCUCAGCAGGCUCCUAAAGCCCCAUCACCCUCCCCACCUUAUGUUGAUUCAUGUAGGUACCAAUGACACCGCUAGGCAUACUUUUCAAAAGAUCACAAAUGAUUUUCGAGCUCUGGGAACAAAGCUAAAACUGUAUAAUGUACAUGUGAUCUUUUCAUCCCUCCUCCCCGUUGUAGGACACGGCUCUACAAGGGCCGGAAAAAUAGUACAGGUCAAUAACUGGCUCAGAAAAUGGUGUCAAGAGGAGCAUUUUGGCUUCCUUGACCAUGGUCUACUCUUCCAAGAGGAUGAACUACUGGCAAGUGAUGGGGUGCAUCUCACACAAGUAGGAAAACAUCUUUUUGCACACAGACUCACAAACCUCAUCAGGCGCACUUUAAACUAGAUCCACUGGGGGAGGGGAGCAACAGCCUGGCGAACACUAUAUUACCCACGACCACAGGGAACCGCCAAAAGGCUAAACGGAGGGCUGCACAAACACAGCAAGGACCAAGUACAGAGAGCACAAUAAUCCCAAAUAAACAGUUUAAGGGGAGGUCACAGGGGCUUACAUGUCUUUACACUAAUGCUCAGAGCAUGGGAAAUAAGCAAGACGAACUCCAACUCCUAGCACAGCACCACACAUACGAUGUCAUAGGCAUCACUGAAACCUGGUGGGAUUACUCCCAUCACUGGAAUUUAACCAUUGAGGGCUAUAACCUCUUUCACAGAAAUAGAACAAAGGGGAGAGGAGGGGGAGUAGCUUUAUAUGUCAAAAACAGUUACGUUGCAGAAGAAAUGCAAGACUGUAAUCCAGGAAACCAGCUUGAAAGCAUCUGGAUAAGAAUCAAGGGAACCAGGACUCAAAAAGAUCUUGUCGUGGGUGUCUACUACAGACCUCCGAGUCAGGAUGAAGGACUUGAUGAAGCCUUCUGUCAACAGCUGACCAAACAGGCACAAAGAAGAGAUAUAGUAGUCAUGGGCGAUUUCAAUUAUCCUGAUAUCUGCUGGAAAACAAACUCAGCCAAGAGUACAAAGUCCAACAAAUUCCUCACUUGCCUUGCAGAUAAUUUUAUGGUCCAGAAGGUAGAAGAGGUAACAAGGGGAUCAGCAACUCUUGAUCUAAUCUUAACAAAUGUGGAAGACCUGAUCAAUACAGUUGAAGUGGUUGGAUCCUUAGGGGCAAGUGACCAUGUGAUCCUGCAGUUUGCAAUACAAAGGAAUGUUGAAACUAAGACAAGUCAAACACGCUUUCUGGACUUUAAGAGAGCUGACUUCCAAAAAAUGAAGGAAUUACUGAGCGGCAUUCCAUGGACGCCGAUAUUAAAAAACAAGGGAGUUAAGGAUGGAUGGGAGUUUUUCAAAAGUGAAAUACUCAAGGCGCAAAUGCAAACAGUGCCAACAAAGAAGAAAAAUAAGACAAGUGCAAAGAAGCCAGAAUGGAUGUCCAAAGAACUUCUAACUGAGCUAAAGCUCAAAAGUGACAUGCACAAGAAGUGGAAAAGGGGAGAAAUCACCAAAGAAGAAUUCAAACGUAUAGCCAACACCUGUAGGGAAAAGGUUCGCAAGGCUAAAGCGCAAAAUGAGCUCAGGUGUUGGCUAUACGUUUGAAUUCUUCUUUGGUGAUUUCUCCCCUUUUCCACUUCUUGUGCAUGUCACUUUUGAGCUUUAGCUCAGUUAGAAGUUCUUUGGACAUCCAUUCUGGCUUCUUUGCACUUGUCUUAUUUUUCUUCUUUGUUGGCACUGUUUGCAUUUGCGCCUUGAGUAUUUCACUUUUGAAAAACUCCCAUCCAUCCUUAACUCCCUUGUUUUUUAAUAUCGGCGUCCAUGGAAUGCCGCUCAGUAAUUCCUUCAUUUUUUGGAAGUCAGCUCUCUUAAAGUCCAGAAAGUGUGUUUGACUUGUCUUAGUUUCAGCAUUCCUUUGUAUUGCAAACUGCAGGAGCACAUGGUCACUUGCCCCUAAGGAUCCAACCACUUCAACUGUAUUGAUCAGGUCUUCCACAUUUGUUAAGAUUAGAUCAAGAGUUGCUGAUCCCCUUGUUGCCUCUUCUACCUUCUGGACCAUAAAAUUAUCUGCAAGGCAAGUGAGGAAUUUGUUGGACUUUGUACUCUUGGCUGAGUUUGUUUUCCAGCAGAUAUCGGGAUAAUUGAAAUCGCCCAUGACUACUAUAUCUCUUCUUUGUGCCUGUUUGGUCAGCUGUUGACAGAAGGCUUCAUCAAGUCCUUCAUCCUGACUCGGAGGUCUGUAGUAGACACCCACGACAAGAUCUUUUUGAGUCCCGGUUCCCUUGAUUCUUAUCCAGAUGCUUUCAAGCUGGUUUCCCGGAUUACAGUCUUGCAUUUCUUCUGCAACGUAACUGUUUUUGACAUAUAAAGCUACUCCCCCUCCUCUCCCCUUUGUUCUAUUUCUGUGAAAGAGGUUAUAGCCCUCAAUGGUUAAAUUCCAGUGAUGGGAGUCAUCCCACCAGGUUUCAGUGAUGCCUAUGACAUCGUAUGUGUGGUGCUGUGCUAGGAGUUGGAGUUCGUCUUGCUUAUUUCCCAUGCUCUGAGCAUUAGUGUAAAGACAUGUAAGCCCCUGUGACCUCCCCUCAAAC
Anolis carolinensis (green anole) is the source of this 3611-nucleotide RNA transcript. RefSeq lists it as uncharacterized. The transcript has 2 exons. The record is from RefSeq and is a predicted model, not a curated record. NCBI's taxonomy places the organism in Eukaryota, Metazoa, Chordata, Lepidosauria, Squamata, Anolidae.